This is a long non-coding RNA of Oreochromis aureus, 907 nucleotides long. RefSeq lists it as uncharacterized. The transcript is spliced from 3 exons. Lineage: Eukaryota; Metazoa; Chordata; Actinopteri; Cichliformes; Cichlidae. The record is from RefSeq and is a predicted model, not a curated record.
CACCGCGAAUUCUACAGAUUACCAGUUCCCACAACACAGCUGGCCAAGAUUUCCAAACUGCUUUUAACACUGGAAAAAGGACAUCUUUCCCAGAUCCAGGGGAAAUCACUGGAUGAGAUCGAAAUUGAAGAUGAAAUUGCAUUAAGUGAUGCUGAAACAAAGGACAGUGAGAGUGAAUCAGAUGAUGAUGACACAGCACUCACAAUGUCAGCGUGUGGCACCAGUGAGGCUGUACAUGCAGUAGCUGAUUCCACAAACACAGCGCAGCUCCAAGACACUGUAGAUUAUGGUAAGUUACCACUAGCUUGGUUUCUGUGGAUAAAAUGUUUGUUACAAAUAUUAAAACUUAAUCAAAUUGUGUAAUCAGCAGAUGAAGAACCACUCAUAAUGCCUGCAGCAAGUGAGACUGCUGCUCCCUCUGAAGAUAAAAAUGCUGCUCAAUCCCACAAUUCCCGAAGAGCUCCCAAAAACAUGUGGUCCAAGGCUGAGGUUGCUGCAGUGAUGAGGCAUUUUAAAGACCACAUAAACGAAGGGAAACUGGCCACCAAAAAUGAAUGCAGUCAUUGCAAAUUGGUAGAAGAUCCGGUGUUGGCAGGAAGAACAGUUCAAAACAUAAGAGAUUUUGUAAGAAACAGAGGAUUAACUGCAAAAAGGCAGAAAAAAAUGAACUAAAAUAACUGUUUAGCCAGAUGUGGUUUUACAUCUUGGUCAGAUUGCCGAACUGUUGUUAAAACUGACUUAUUGUGCAGCAGGCUGCCUCACUGAUGUUCUGUUUAAAGAAAAAAAAGUUCUUGUUAAUUACAGAAGUAGUUUGUAUUUCAUAAUUUUUAAAUUUAAUUUAUUUAGUUUUUUUUGACAGGUUCUUAUUUUAAUAUAUUUUUUUGACAGGUUAUAUUUAAAAUAAAAA